Molecule: unclassified non-coding RNA, 453 nt
Filed under: Hevea brasiliensis (rubber tree)
Lineage: Eukaryota; Viridiplantae; Streptophyta; Magnoliopsida; Malpighiales; Euphorbiaceae
Source: RNAcentral
AAAGAAAAAAAAAAAAAAAAAAACGGUGGAGGUAUUAUUUUAGAAUCUUGAAACAAAGUAAAGAUUGAAGUAACUGAUGCUUAUGAAAAGGAAAUAGAUUUGAGUUUGGCCUAUCAAUCACUUCACUGGAGCAAGAUAUGACACAUGCUUAAAGAAAUUCUAUAUGAUUCAGCUAAUUAUGGUGUUAAUCUUCUCUAUUAGAAUUUCCAACUCCUAAAGAACAGAAAGUCCUGCCUUGAAAAAUGCACAGGGUCUUUAGUACUCGUUGAGGAAAGGAAUCCUCAACAAAGUGUAAGAGAUUUAAAGGCUAUUCAUGGUUCUUUCUAGUAAAUUUGAACUUCUACUUUGAGUGAAUAUUUGAUUAUUUGCACUUCUGGCUGCUGGUGGACAAAGUUGAGGUUGACAUGUAACAAAGACUAUUUGUACGUUUUGAGUUUUUAGAAAGAAAGAAGA